Molecule: ribosomal RNA, 441 nt
Filed under: uncultured bacterium
Lineage: Bacteria
Description: partial 16S ribosomal RNA
Rfam family: Bacterial small subunit ribosomal RNA
Source: RNAcentral
CCUACGGGCGGCAGCAGUGGGGAAUAUUGCACAAUGGGGGAAACCCUGAUGCAGCGACGCCGCGUGAGUGAAGAAGUAUUUCGGUAUGUAAAGCUCUAUCAGCAGGGAAGAAGAAAGACGGUACCUGUCAAAGGAGCCUCGGCUAACUACGUGCCAGCAGCCGCGGUAAUACGUAGGGGGCAAGCGUUAUCCGGAUUUACUGGGCGUAAAGGGAGCGUAGACGGCAGGGCAAGUCUGAAGUGAAAGCCCAGGGCUCAACCCUGGGACUGCUUUGGAAACUGUGGAGCUGGAGUGCUGGAGAGGUGAGUGGAAUUCCUAGUGUAGCGGUGAAAUGCGUAGAUAUUAGGAGGAACACCAGUGGCGAAGGCGGCUUACUGGACAGUAACUGACGUUGAGGCUCGAAAGCGUGGGGAGCAAACAGGAUUAGAUACCCCAGUAGUC